AUUGAACGCUGGCGGCAGGCCUAACACAUGCAAGUCGAGCGAGCGGCGGACGGGUGAGUAAUGUAUGGGAAACUGCCCGAUAGAGGGGGAUAACUACUGGAAACGGUGGCUAAUACCGCAUACCAUCGGAUGAACCCAGAUGGGAUUAGCUUGUAGGUGGGGUAACGGCUCACCUAGGCGACGAUCCCUAGCUGGUCUGAGAGGAUGACCAGCCACACUGGAACUGAGACACGGCCCAGACUCCUACGGGAGGCAGCAGUGGGGAAUAUUGCACAAUGGGCGCAAGCCUGAUACAGCCAUGCCGCGUGUAUGAAGAAGGCCUUAGGGUUGUAAAGUACUUUCAGCGGGGAGGCGUUACCCGCAGAAGAAGCACCGGCUAACUCCGUGCCAGCAGCCGCGGUAAUUC
This 406-nucleotide ribosomal RNA is filed under the name uncultured bacterium. Its description in RNAcentral is "partial 16S ribosomal RNA". It matches the Rfam family "Bacterial small subunit ribosomal RNA", at positions 30 to 526 of the family's 1533-position model. The record is from RNAcentral.